CCUACGGGGUGCUGCAGUGGGGAAUAUUGGACAAUGGGCGAAAGCCUGAUCCAGCCAUGCCGCGUGUGUGAAGAAGGCCUUCGGGUUGUAAAGCACUUUCAGUGGGGAAGAAAGCCUUGGGGCUAAUACCCUCGAGGAAGGACAUCACCCACAGAAGAAGCACCGGCUAACUCCGUGCCAGCAGCCGCGGUAAUACGGAGGGUGCGAGCGUUAAUCGGAAUUACUGGGCGUAAAGCGCGCGUAGGCGGUCUGAUAAGCCGGUUGUGAAAGCCCCGGGCUCAACCUGGGAACGGCAUCCGGAACUGUCAGGUUAGAGUGCAGGAGAGGAAGGUAGAAUUCCCGGUGUAGCGGUGAAAUGCGUAGAGAUCGGGAGGAAUACCAGUGGCGAAGGCGGCCUUCUGGACUGACACUGACGCUGAGGUGCGAAAGCGUGGGUAGCAAACAGGAUUAGAUACCCUAGUAGUC
RNAcentral lists this ribosomal RNA (465 nucleotides) under Vreelandella stevensii. RNAcentral describes it as "partial 16S ribosomal RNA". It matches the Rfam family "Bacterial small subunit ribosomal RNA", at positions 338 to 795 of the family's 1533-position model. The record is from RNAcentral. Lineage: Bacteria; Pseudomonadati; Pseudomonadota; Gammaproteobacteria; Oceanospirillales; Halomonadaceae.